Molecule: long non-coding RNA, 767 nt
Organism: Pipra filicauda (Wire-tailed manakin)
Lineage: Eukaryota; Metazoa; Chordata; Aves; Passeriformes; Pipridae
Exons: 5
Source: RefSeq, a predicted model, not a curated record
GUGCUGCUCCAGUGGUCACAACCCAACAGAAAAGUCCCUCUGCUGUGGAUGGCUUGGCCUUGCUCUGCAGAGGAAUGCCAUGGAGUCAGCUUCCUGAUUUUUCACACCUGAGCAGGAGAGGAUGGACAGUCCUGGAUCAGCCCCUCGGUGCCGACAGCGCUUCCUGUGGAGAUCAGAGCAAUGAACAACUGGGCACUGCUGGAGCAGCAGGGAAACCUCUCCUGGGGCAUGUGGAGAGUGGCUCAUUGUCAGCUGCCACCACUUCCCAGAUUCCCAAACCACUCUGAGUUAUUUGGGAUGCAACUACAGAAGCCCUGAGAGUCUGAGAGAUCUCCAAGUCUUGGGCCCCUGAAGACUUGGAAAAAGACCUGAAGUUUCUGACUGGCAUUGAACCAGACAGAUGGGAGAUGAUGCUGUGUAAGAGGAGGCCUUGCUCCACUUGACCUGCAAGAGCUGCUCCAGGAGGACAAUCCAGUUCCACCAGGAACACCGAGGGACACAGGAUGUCACAGCAGCAGCAGCAGGACCCACUCCAGCCCCACUGGAUUUCGGCUUCCUGGUUGUCCUGGCUCUUGGAAAACCUUUCAGCCCCCCAUGGCACACCUGGCUCCUGGGAAAUGCUCUGGAAGGAUGGAUGGACUGCUGCAGUGGGGGUGGAAUCACAGGCAGGAAUAAAGGCAAAAGAAGGGAAAUCUUUCUCUGGGAAUCCCCAUCCCUGGAAGUGUCCAAGGCCAGGCUGGAAGGGGCCUGGAGCAGCCUGGGCUAGU